This 1432-nucleotide ribosomal RNA is filed under the name uncultured organism. RNAcentral describes it as "16S ribosomal RNA". It matches the Rfam family "Bacterial small subunit ribosomal RNA". The record is from RNAcentral.
GCUUAACACAUGCAAGUCGAGGGGCAUCAGGAAGAAAGCUUGCUUUCUUUGCUGGCGACCGGCGCACGGGUGAGUAACACGUAUCCAACCUGCCCUUUACUCGGGGAUAGCCUUUCGAAAGAAAGAUUAAUACCCGAUAGCAUAAUGAUUCCGCAUGGUUUCAUUAUUAAAGGAUUCCGGUAAAGGAUGGGGAUGCGUUCCAUUAGGUUGUUGGUGAGGUAACGGCUCACCAAGCCUUCGAUGGAUAGGGGUUCUGAGAGGAAGGUCCCCCACAUUGGAACUGAGACACGGUCCAAACUCCUACGGGAGGCAGUAGUGAGGAAUAUUGGUCAAUGGGCGCUAGCCUGAACCAGCCAAGUAGCGUGAAGGAUGAAGGCUCUAUGGGUCGUAAACUUCUUUUAUAUAAGAAUAAAGUGCAGUAUGUAUACUGUUUUGUAUGUAUUAUAUGAAUAAGGAUCGGCUAACUCCGUGCCAGCAGCCGCGGUAAUACGGAGGAUCCGAGCGUUAUCCGGAUUUAUUGGGUUUAAAGGGAGCGUAGGUGGACUGGUAAGUCAGUUGUGAAAGUUUGCGGCUCAACCGUAAAAUUGCAGUUGAUACUGUCAGUCUUGAGUACAGUAGAGGUGGGCGGAAUUCGUGGUGUAGCGGUGAAAUGCUUAGAUAUCACGAAGAACUCCGAUUGCGAAGGCAGCUCACUGGACUGCAACUGACACUGAUGCUCGAAAGUGUGGGUAUCAAACAGGAUUAGAUACCCUGGUAGUCCACACAGUAAACGAUGAAUACUCGCUGUUUGCGAUAUACAGUAAGCGGCCAAGCGAAAGCAUUAAGUAUUCCACCUGGGGAGUACGCCGGCAACGGUGAAACUCAAAGGAAUUGACGGGGGCCCGCACAAGCGGAGGAACAUGUGGUUUAAUUCGAUGAUACGCGAGGAACCUUACCCGGGCUUAAAUUGCAGUGGAAUGAUGUGGAAACAUGUCAGUGAGCAAUCACCGCUGUGAAGGUGCUGCAUGGUUGUCGUCAGCUCGUGCCGUGAGGUGUCGGCUUAAGUGCCAUAACGAGCGCAACCCUUAUCUUCAGUUACUAACAGGUCAUGCUGAGGACUCUGGAGAGACUGCCGUCGUAAGAUGUGAGGAAGGUGGGGAUGACGUCAAAUCAGCACGGCCCUUACGUCCGGGGCUACACACGUGUUACAAUGGGGGGUACAGAAGGCAGCUAGCGGGUGACCGUAUGCUAAUCCCAAAAGCCUCUCUCAGUUCGGAUCGAAGUCUGCAACCCGACUUCGUGAAGCUGGAUUCGCUAGUAAUCGCGCAUCAGCCACGGCGCGGUGAAUACGUUCCCGGGCCUUGUACACACCGCCCGUCAAGCCAUGGGAGCCGGGGGUACCUGAAGUACGUAACCACGAGGAUCGUCCUAGGGUAAAACUGGUGACUGGGGC